Molecule: long non-coding RNA, 600 nt
Filed under: Gallus gallus (chicken)
Lineage: Eukaryota; Metazoa; Chordata; Aves; Galliformes; Phasianidae
Description: lncRNA (ENSGALG00010003936.1)
Source: RNAcentral
GGGGGGGGAACCAUAUGGGUGCCCCCGGCGACCAUAUGGGUGCUGUGGGGGCCUAUGGGUCACCGUGGGGCCCUAUGGGGCACUGUGGGGCCCUAUGGGUGCUAUGGGGACCCUAUGGGGUCCCUAUGGGGUCUCUAUGGGUGCUAUGGGUUCCUAUGGGUGCUAUGGGGACACUAUGGGGUCCCUAUGGGGUCUCCAUGGGUGCUAUGCAUUCCUAUGGGUGCUUUGGGGCCCUAUGGGUGCAAUGGGGCCCUAUGGGUGCUAUGGGGUCCCUAUGGGUGCUAUGGGGCCCUAUGGGUGCUAUGGGGUCCCUAUGGUCCCUAUGGGUGCAAUGGGGCCCUAUGGGUGCUAUGGGGUCCCUAUGGGUGCAAUGGGGCCCUAUGGGUGCUAUGGGGCCCUAUGGGUCUCUAUGGGUGCUAUGGGUCCCUGUGGGUGCUCUGAGCUCUGUGAGUUGGGGGGGUGGGGGGGGGGGUCAGUGGGUGCCGCCCCCCCUCUGCGUCCCCAAUCCGCGCUGGCAGUGCCGCGCAAUUACCCAAAUGGCUUUAAUUGCACCCAUAAUCCCCCACCCCCCCCCACCCCCAACCCCACGGGGACACGGGG